RNAcentral lists this ribosomal RNA (497 nucleotides) under uncultured bacterium. RNAcentral describes it as "partial 16S ribosomal RNA". It matches the Rfam family "Bacterial small subunit ribosomal RNA", at positions 28 to 507 of the family's 1533-position model. The record is from RNAcentral.
GAUGAACGCUGGCGGCGUGCCUAAUACAUGCAAGUCGAGCGAACAGAUGAGGAGCUUACUCCUCUGACGUUAGCGGCGGACGGGUGAGUAACACGUGGAUAACCUACCUAUAAGACUGGGAUAACUUCGGGAAACCGGAGCUAAUACCGGAUAAUAUAUUGAACCGCAUGGUUCAAUAGUGAAAGACGGUUUUGCUGUCACUUAUAGAUGGAUCCGCGCUGCAUUAGCUAGUUGGUAAGGUAACGGCUUACCAAGGCAACGAUGCGUAGCCGACCUGAGAGGGUAAUCGGCCACACUGGAACUGAGACACGGUCCAGACUCCUACGGGAGGCAGCAGUAGGGAAUCUUCCGCAAUGGGCGAAAGCCUGACGGAGCAACGCCGCGUGAGUGAUGAAGGUCUUCGGAUCGUAAAACUCUGUUAUUAGGGAAGAACAAAUGUGUAAGUAACUAUGCACGCCUUGACGGUACCUAAUCAGAAAGCCACGGCUAACUACGUG